GAGCCCUUUUAUUUGUCUUUAAAAAGAUUUGUUAACUUGAUUGUAGGUUGAACUAUGUUUUGAAUACAAUUGAAGAGUUGCGACCAAAAUCUAUUACAGUUGUUGCCUGUAUCUUAUAAGCUAUCUAUUAUUUAAAGCAUGGUUUCUUAAGUUGUAAAUGACAUUUGGAAAUGACUAUUCAUGUUUUGAAGUUUAGCAUCAACGUAUGGUGUUUAGGUUGUCUAAAAAUUUAGUUAAGAGGAAAUUUGGCAUCGCUGUCCCCUAAGGAUGAAUAAGCUAUGCAAAUCCAUGUAAAGUAAUGAUGAUAUUCAGCUUUCAUGUAUUCCUCAUUUCAAUAGAUCCAAACUUAUUUGAAGCUGUUUUUUUAUUUGUCUUUCUCGCCAGCUUCAAUAUUGAAGGUUCGAUUUUUUUUGUACUUCUUCUUUCCUUACGUCCUCAUGAUAUUCGUAUAUCAAAACGUUCCAGUCUUAGAUUUAAUGUUGGACGAAUGCCUACGUAAAAAUAUAAAACGUUUAUCGUUCGAUAGUAACUAAUUUGAUUUUACCCGAAGAUUAAGAACAAGAAAUAUAUGAUUCAUUCAAA
RNAcentral lists this long non-coding RNA (582 nucleotides) under Schizosaccharomyces pombe (fission yeast). RNAcentral describes it as "non-coding RNA, poly(A)-bearing". The record is from RNAcentral. Lineage: Eukaryota; Fungi; Ascomycota; Schizosaccharomycetes; Schizosaccharomycetales; Schizosaccharomycetaceae.